RNAcentral lists this ribosomal RNA (1245 nucleotides) under 'Carica papaya' phytoplasma. RNAcentral's name for it is "bacterial SSU rRNA". It matches the Rfam family "Bacterial small subunit ribosomal RNA", at positions 153 to 1401 of the family's 1533-position model. Lineage: Bacteria; Bacillati; Mycoplasmatota; Mollicutes; Acholeplasmatales; Acholeplasmataceae. The record is from RNAcentral.
GAAACGACUGCUAAGACUGGAUAGGAGAUAAGAAGGCAUCUUCUUAUUUUUAAAAGACCUAGCAAUAGGUAUGCUUAGGGAAGAGCUUGCGUCACAUUAGUUAGUUGGUGGGGUAAUGGCCUACCAAGACGAUGAUGUGUAGCCGGGCUGAGAGGUCGAACGGCCACAUUGGGACUGAGACACGGCCCAAACUCCUACGGGAGGCAGCAGUAAGGAAUUUUCGGCAAUGGAGGAAACUCUGACCGAGCAAUGCCGCGUGAACGAUGAAGUAUUUUGGUACGUAAAGUUCUUUUAUUAGGGAAGAAAAGAUGGUGGAAAAACCAUUAUGACGGUACCUAAUGAAUAAGCCCCGGCUAACUAUGUGCCAGCAGCCGCGGUAAUACAUAGGGGGCAAGCGUUAUCCGGAAUUAUUGGGCGUAAAGGGUGCGUAGGCGGUUAAAUAAGUUUAUGGUCUAAGUGCAACGCUCAACGUUGUGAUGCUAUAAAAACUGUUUAGCUAGAGUUGGAUAGAGGCAAGUGGAAUUCCGUGUGUAGUGGUAAAAUGCGUAAAUAUACGGAGGAACACCAGAAGCGAAGGCGGCUUGCUGGGUCUUAACUGACGCUGAGGCACGAAAGCGUGGGGAGCAAACAGGAUUAGAUACCCUGGUAGCCACGCCCUAAACGAUGAGUACUAAACGUUGGAUAAAACCAGUGUUGAAGUUAACACAUUAAGUACUCCGCCUGAGUAGUACGUACGCAAGUAUGAAACUUAAAGGAAUUGACGGGACUCCGCACAAGCGGUGGAUCAUGUUGUUUAAUUCGAAGGUACCCGAAAAACCUCACCAGGUCUUGACAUGCUUUUGCAAAGCUGUAGAAAUACAGUGGAGGUUAUCAGAAGCACAGGUGGUGCAUGGUUGUCGUCAGCUCGUGUCGUGAGAUGUUGGGUUAAGUCCCGCAACGAGCGCAACCCUUGUUGUUAAUUGCCAUCAUUAAGUUGGGGACUUUAGCAAGACUGCCAAUGAUAAAUUGGAGGAAGGUGGGGACGACGUCAAAUCAUCAUGCCCCUUAUGACCUGGGCUACAAACGUGAUACAAUGGCUGUUACAAAGGGUAGCUAAAGCGUAAGCUUCUGGCGAAUCUCAAAAAAGCAGUCUCAGUUCGGAUUGAAGUCUGCAACUCGACUUCAUGAAGUUGGAAUCGCUAGUAAUCGCGAAUCAGCAUGUCGCGGUGAAUACGUUCUCGGGGUUUGUACACACCGCCCGUCAAA